RNAcentral lists this non-coding RNA (30 nucleotides) under Rattus norvegicus (Norway rat). The record is from RNAcentral. Lineage: Eukaryota; Metazoa; Chordata; Mammalia; Rodentia; Muridae.
UGCCAAGUCACAGACAAUAUCUUCAAAUUU